This 253-nucleotide ribosomal RNA is filed under the name uncultured bacterium. RNAcentral's name for it is "partial 16S ribosomal RNA". It matches the Rfam family "Bacterial small subunit ribosomal RNA", at positions 524 to 776 of the family's 1533-position model. The record is from RNAcentral.
UACGGGGGGGGCAAGCGUUGUUCGGAAUUACUGGGCGUAAAGGGCUCGUAGGCGGCCAACUAAGUCAGACGUGAAAUCCCUCGGCUUAACCGGGGAACUGCAUCUGAUACUGGAUGGCUUGAGUUCGGGAGAGGGAUGCGGAAUUCCAGGUGUAGCGGUGAAAUGCGUAGAUAUCUGGAGGAAUACCGGUGGCGAAGGCGGCAUCCUGGACCAAUACUGACGCUGAGGCGCGAAAGCUAGGGGAGCAAACGGG